This 503-nucleotide ribosomal RNA is filed under the name uncultured bacterium. Its description in RNAcentral is "partial 16S ribosomal RNA". It matches the Rfam family "Bacterial small subunit ribosomal RNA", at positions 28 to 523 of the family's 1533-position model. The record is from RNAcentral.
GAUGAACGCUAGCGACAGGCUUAACACAUGCAAGUCGAGGGGCAGCAUAAAAGUAGCAAUACUUUGGUGGCGACCGGCGCACGGGUGAGUAACGCGUAUGCAACCUACCUAUCAGAGGGGAAUAACCCGGCGAAAGUCGGACUAAUACCGCAUAAAACAGGGGCACCGCAUGGUGAUAUUUGUUAAAGAAAUUCGCUGAUAGAUGGGCAUGCGUUCCAUUAGGUAGUUGGUGAGGUAACGGCUCACCAAGCCGACGAUGGAUAGGGGAACUGAGAGGUUGGUCCCCCACACUGGUACUGAGACACGGACCAGACGCCUACGGGAGGCAGCAGUGAGUAAUAUUGGUCAAUGGUCGAGAGCCUGAACCAGCCAAGUCGCGUGAAGGAAGAAGGAUCUAUGGUUCGUAAACUUCUUUUGCAGGGGAAUAAAGUGCGGGACGUGUCCUGUUUUGUAUGUACCCUGAGAAUAAGGAUCGGCUAACUCCGUGCCAGCAGCCGCCGCCG